Molecule: long non-coding RNA, 1954 nt
Filed under: Mus musculus (house mouse)
Lineage: Eukaryota; Metazoa; Chordata; Mammalia; Rodentia; Muridae
Description: long non-coding RNA chr11:54684116-54686070
Source: RNAcentral
UGCUAAGGCCUAGUUUUUCAGGUGUUACUAAGUAACUAGGACUCCAGUACUCAAGUCAUGAUCCUUGGCUGUUUGAAAGAGGGCAAGCAUGGGUAGAAAUGAGAGCGUAAAUCACAGUUGUUUUGCUCUGUGCCAGUGCUCAGUACCAUCCUUCCAGUUUCAUAUAAGUGAGCAUCUCUGUGGAAAAUUUGCAAAUAAAAUUCUAUAAGAAAUUGUAUUUACACUGGGUGUGAUGGUGCACACCAGCACUUAGGAAGAGGAGUCCAGGGGGUCAGGGUUGUUAUUGACUGCAUAAAAAGUUCAAGGCCUGAAACCCAGCUCCCAAAAAAGCAUUUUGUUUUGAUUUUGUUCAAGUACAAAGUAUAGGAAAAGAAAUAAAUGCUAGCUGCCCAUGGAGACAUAACCCUUUAAUCCCUGCACUCAGGCAGCAGAGUUGGGUAGAGCUCUGUGAGUUCCAAGACAGCCAGGGCUACACAGAGAAACCCUGUCUUAAAAAACAAAAAGAAAGAAAAAAAAAUAUUUAGCUUUCUCCUUCUGGUUUCUUCUGUUUUUCUUGUUUAUGGGGAUUUAAAAUAAUCUAUGUCUUGGGGCAUUUACAUUUAUACAAAACCAGAAAAGAAAAGAUAUAACUCCUGGUUCUUUAAAUGUGUUUUCAUGAGUCAGACUGAAGAUUUUCAUGGCUAAAGUGACUUAUUGAGGUGCCACAUGACACUGAGCACAUGUCAGGCAUGCUGAAGAGCAUGCGUCUCUUACUCUGCCUUCCACACUCUGCACUUGUAAUGGAGAAGGGCCAUCCUAAUCCUGCCUUCUGCAUGAGUGUAAAAAGAAAAACACUUUAUAAAGCACAGUAGAGGACCUUGCCUGGCCAGGGGGGAGAUUAAGUUUGGCAGUCCUGCCUGUCACUCAUUCCCUUCCCAAGAGCUAAGUGUCACUCUUCAGGGCUGUGCCAGCUGCAGCACAGUCAUAUUAACACUGGAGGCUGACACUCUGUCCUUUGUCCCCAUUCGUGACUUGUUCAUAAGGUCCAGACAAACCCUUUGUCUUAGGGUCUGUGUAUACAGUUUAACAGAAAUGUUAUUUCUAUGUGUGGUAAGUGAUUAGUACAUUCAGAUAUCCCUUUCCUGCUGAGAUUUUAAUAAGGAAUGGUUCAUGAAAAUCAAAUAGGACAUAGAAGGAAUAUGUAUAGUAGGUAUAUUCUUAAAAUAGUUUCUGAUUCUGCUGCAUCUCAUACUUUGUAAGACACACUAUAUGUCUUUGUAUGUCUUCUCUUUGUCUAUAUGAGCUGAUUAUCCAGAAUACCUUCGUCAGAUCUCUAGAAGCAGCAACCAAGCCUGUAGUGAGGCAGGUCGUCAAACCUGCAGGGCCUGAGUUUGGAAGCUGUGCACAGACAGUUGUGUAAGGAAGAAGCUGCUAGAUCUGAUUAUAGUUUGUGUUUACUGUGUCUUGGGAAGAAAUAUAAUGGAUAAAAAUAUCCCAAGAAAAAUUCACUCUCUUUUUUUCUUUUCUGGAACCUGCUGUGUUGGCCAGGCUGGGAUUGAGAUCCAUCUUCCUCUGCCUCCCAAGUGCUGGGAUUAAAAGUGUACAAUGACCACACCAGUCUAAAAAGCUAUUCUUACACUGGUGUAAAUUCCCUUUACUCUGUUGUCUUUCAGUAUGUGGCUGACUGUUGACCAUGAUGUUUAUAAAGAGGGCAUCAGAUUUCAUUAUGGAUGGUUGUAAGCCACCAUAUGGUUGCUGGGAUUUGAACUCAGGACCUUUGGAAGAGCAUUUGGCGCUCUUAACCACUGAGCCAUCUCACCAGCCCCCAGAAAUUAUUCUUAAAUAUUUCAAGACCCCAUCAAGACAACCAGGCAGAGUGAGUGAUACAUACCUGCAAUGCCAGCACUCAGCCAGCUGAGGCAGGAGGACCUGGCAUACAUUCUAGGACAUCCUUAGAACUGCAUAAGACCCUUCC